This is a long non-coding RNA of Sinocyclocheilus grahami, 95 nucleotides long. RefSeq lists it as uncharacterized. The record is from RefSeq and is a predicted model, not a curated record. The transcript has 3 exons. Lineage: Eukaryota; Metazoa; Chordata; Actinopteri; Cypriniformes; Cyprinidae.
UAACUCUUGAAAGACAAUCCAGGACAAGACACAUCUCAAAGAAUAAUGCAGCAGAAGAAAAUUGUCUUAAAGAAAGUGUUGGAGAGUCAGGGGAC